AAUAAACAAACUGUUUCCUUGCCUACUCCAUAGACUUCACCUGAAAUACAAGUACAAUUGUAAUUGUAGAUUGACACAUCAUAGCCCAUUAAGAUGAAAAAGUGAGAGAGACCCUGCUGUGACCUAUUGCCAAAUACAGUGCAAUAUUGGUGAGCCUUUUUUGCCUGAACUUGAUGUCUGUCCAGAAGACAAAAACACUGAUUAGGUAGAAGGAGGAUGAAAGUCCUUCAGGAACAGAGUGACUCUGGACCUCAGCUAUAAACUGCAGCUAAUUCAUAAAUGUCAAGAGCCAAAAGGUCUCUGAUUAAAGGCCAGGAAAACUGUUGAAUUGUGAAGUAAGCAAGGAUUAAGAAAUUGACUCUGACCAGUGUAUCCAGCUGUACCUUAAUGGACAUAUACACACUCAACAUGCACAUGCACACACACAUGCAAAAACAAGCAAAACAAAGAGCAGUUGACUUUCAGUUCUAUUCAUUAAAAAGAUCCGUUUAUAAUUGUACAUGUGCAGAAGGGCUGCGAGACUGAAGUGAUACCUGAGAGAGGCCUGGGAAUAUGUUUGCACCACAUUACUUGGACUGCAUGAUAAUUGAGAGCCAUUGUGGCUGAACACUUUAUGAGUUUGUUUAAUUUGUCACAGUAAAUAAAGC
Molecule: long non-coding RNA, 647 nt
Organism: Canis lupus familiaris (dog)
Lineage: Eukaryota; Metazoa; Chordata; Mammalia; Carnivora; Canidae
Exons: 3
Source: RefSeq, a predicted model, not a curated record